GUGAUUUUCCGGUUGAUCCUGCCGGAGGCUAUUGCUAUCGGUGUCCGAUUUAGCCAUGCGAGUUGUACGUCUAACGUAGCGAACUGCUCAGUAACACGUGGUCAAGCUACCCUACGGAUCGGGAUAACCUCGGGAAACUGAGGCUAAUCCCGAAUAGCGCAUCCAGCCUGGAAAUGGCGGAUGUGUGAAACGGUCCGCCGCCGUAGGAUGCGACUGCGGCCGAUUAGGUAGACGGUGGGGUAACGGCCCACCGUGCCGAUAAUCGGUACGGGUCAUGAGAGUGAGAGCCCGGAGACGGACUCUGAGACACGAGUCCGGGCCCUACGGGGCGCAGCAGGCGCGAAACCUUCACACUGCACGCAAGUGCGAUGGGGGGACACCGAGUGCGAGGGCAUAGAGCCCUCGCUUUUCUGGACCGUAAGGUGGUCCAGGAACAAGGGCCGGGCAAGAAUCGAAUUCCCG
RNAcentral lists this ribosomal RNA (462 nucleotides) under uncultured archaeon. Its description in RNAcentral is "bacterial SSU rRNA". It matches the Rfam family "Archaeal small subunit ribosomal RNA", at positions 1 to 464 of the family's 1478-position model. The record is from RNAcentral.